GUCUGACGUGGGGGGUGGGGGCGCUUUAGCUGCAGUUGGCUUCAAUACAGAAAUCCAUGGAAAAUCAGUGGAUGCAAUCCUGAAAUGGUAAAACGGCAUGUAUUUUAAAGCACUUUACUAUGUUCUUAGAAGGCCCAACUUUACAGUCUCAUUCACACACUGAUGGGGGCUCCACUGUUGAACACUGGUGAGAACCUGUAGCCCCCAGGAGCAAUGGGGUUCAGUGUCCUGCUCAAGGACACUUCGACACAUGGGUGCCUAGAGAGGGAGCCUAACCUGCAAUAUUCCAAUUAAUGUUGACCGCUCUACCUAUGCACUAUGGCCGCCCCACAAUGGGUGAGUUAAAUCGAACAAUUUUCAACUACUACUUGUUUUUUUUGUUUUUUUUUUACAUGUAUAUCUUUUUUUUGCCAUGAAUGAAGAUAUUAAAUGGAUUACCUUAUUAUUUAUAUUUAUUUAUUUACAUUUAUCUAAAUGUGCUUGGGCAAGACACUGAACCACACAUUGCUCCUGUUGGUUAUAGGUUGGAGCAGAGCCACCAUCAGUGUGUGAAUAUGUGUGAAUGUGACUGGGACUGUCCAGUUAAGGCUCAAGGAAGGUAUUAAAGUGCUAUACAAGCCAACGCUAUCUACCAUUUACUUAUUUUUGCCUUUUUUAUUGAAGGUAUCCUUGUUGGAAUAACACUUGCAACUUGUUUUCUUUGUUGUGCAUAGCUGUUGUAGACAAAGCCAGGAGCAGGAGGACUUGAAAAAGUCCAGAUCUUUCAAAAGGUUUAAUACUGGAAGCCAAUACAUAAACUGUAGAGAAAAGAACAGAAAAUGGGUGCCCGUGAAAUAAACAAACAGGAAAGCAAGCAUCUGAUUGAUACGAAACAAGAGAAGAAACAGAAAAAACAAAACAAAAA
This is a long non-coding RNA of Oryzias melastigma (Indian medaka), 904 nucleotides long. RefSeq lists it as uncharacterized. The transcript is spliced from 2 exons. The record is from RefSeq and is a predicted model, not a curated record. Lineage: Eukaryota; Metazoa; Chordata; Actinopteri; Beloniformes; Adrianichthyidae.